This 477-nucleotide ribosomal RNA is filed under the name uncultured bacterium. RNAcentral's name for it is "bacterial SSU rRNA". It matches the Rfam family "Bacterial small subunit ribosomal RNA", at positions 915 to 1391 of the family's 1533-position model. The record is from RNAcentral.
GGGGACCCGCAAGCGGUGGAGCAUGUGGUUUAAUUCGAUGCAACGCGAAAAACCUUACCAAUCCUUGACAUGGAGAUUACAGCCACUUGAAGAAGUGGCCUCGGUUCGGCCGGAUCUCACACAGGUGUUGCAUGGCUGUCGUCAGCUCGUGUCGUGAGAUGUUGGGUUAAGUCCCGCAACGAGCGCAACCCUCAUCCUUAAUUGCCAUCAGGUCAUGCUGGGAACUUUAGGGAAACUGCCAGUGAUAAACUGGAGGAAGGUGGGGAUGAUGUCAAGUCAUCAUGGCCCUUAUGGAUUGGGCUACACACGUGCUACAAUGGUGAUUACAAUGGGCUGCAAAGCCGCAAGGCUGAGCUAAACCUCAAAAAUCAUCUCAGUUCGGAUUGUUCUCUGCAACUCGAGAGCAUGAAGUUGGAAUCGCUAGUAAUCGUGGAUCAGCACGCCACGGUGAAUACGUUCUCGGGUCUUGUACACACU